Molecule: non-coding RNA, 1325 nt
Organism: Rattus norvegicus (Norway rat)
Lineage: Eukaryota; Metazoa; Chordata; Mammalia; Rodentia; Muridae
Source: RefSeq, a predicted model, not a curated record
UUCAUACGGCAUGUGGUGUUCCAAGGCGGCGUCCAGAGUGACAACAGUGAAAGCACGCACCCCGUGACGUUGGAAGUGACUCAACGCCCACGAGACCACUCUAGUGGAUUUGCGCUGUACAGUGAUACACAGCCUCUCCAGCCCUCCUAAAACCUUGACUGGACGCUUCCUGCAGCUAAGUUCCCUUUCUCGAGCAAAGCUUCACCCUGAGUUUGUCCUCGGUCAUGCAGCAGUAUGAAUUCGGCGCCAUGUUUGUGCAGGAGUCUGCAGAGGUCAGAAGAAGCAUCGGAUCCCAUGGAUUCAAGACGAUCAUGCAUCGGAUCCCGUAGAACUGAAGUUCAAGAUGAUCAUGGCCAUGUGGGUGCUGGGAACUGAACCCAGGUCCUCUGCAAGAGCAGUAAAUGCUCUUAACCAGGGAGUCAUCUCUCUAGUCACCCGUUGUUUGUUUUUUGAGACAGGGUCUUGCUGUGUAGCCCCCACUAGCUUGGAACUCAAUUUGUACACCAGGCUGACCUUGAACUCUCAGAGAUCUGCCUACCUGUCUCCUGGACACUAGGAUUUAAGGCAUGAGCCAGCACGCCCUAUCCCAGAGAUUGAUUUCUGCUCCUGCUGCUGACCUACUUUCUCUGAACAUACAGGCCUCCAACAACAACAUAAACCCGAAAGGGUGCUUCCUGGGGGAAAGGAGACCGGAAUGGAGCACCCUUUUAAGGAGCUGGGUUAGCUGUUCCAUACCAGGGUUAAGAGGACUUCAGCUAGAGCCUGUUUGAACUUGGAAACCCUCUCUUGAAAUCCCAAAGGAAAGGUGUGUUUAUUUUCACAGUGAACUUUGUUCUACACAUUCUCAUAGUGAGAGUUAAAAGGACAGGUUAAGAGACAGCUCAGUCUGUACACUGAAUGUGUGAAGCUCAAUCCCUAGAACCUACUUAAAAAUACAAAAAGCUGGGCAUGGAUGUGUGUGCUUGUCAUGUACACAGUGGGAGGCAGAGCCUGGAUUUCUGAGCCUGUCUGGCUGACCAGCCUCGACCAUACAGCAGACCCCGGGUCCCCAGUGAGAGACUGCGCUUCAAAAUAAAAAGAUAGUGAGUGUUGGUGGAGGAAGAGAAGGCAGGUUAUCCUCUGGCCUAUGUGCAACACACACACACACACACACACACACACACACACACACAGAGAGAGACAGAGUGAGAGGCAGAGAGACAGAGACAGAGAGAGACAGAGAGAGAACUGGAGAGAGAGAACUGGAAAGAGAGAACUGGAGAGAGAGAGCUAGAGAGAGAGAACUGGAGAGAGAGAGCUAGAGAGAGAGAACUGGAGAGAGAGAA